Molecule: ribosomal RNA, 394 nt
Filed under: uncultured prokaryote
Description: partial 16S ribosomal RNA
Source: RNAcentral
CCCUACGGGGUGCAGCCGGCCCGAGCCCCCGGCCCCGUGGGGACAAUAGAAAUUGGCAGGGACCCGCCGGUGGGGUCGCCCCGGGCGAUCAACAGCCAGGCUGCGGUCAAGCCGAUGGCGCCCCCCAGCAGGGAGAGCAGGAGCGCCUCGGCGAGCACCAUCGCCAGGACCUGGACAUGGUUGAAACCCAGCGCCUUGAGAACGCCGAUCUCCUGGGUGCGCUCAUGAACGGCUUGCGCCAUGGUAUUGCCGGCCACCAGGAGAAUGGUGAAGAACACCGCGCCGAGGAUGGCCGUCAGCAGGGCGCCCACGUCACCCACGUGUUUGGCGAAUCCCUGAACGAAAGCGCCUUCGGAUUCGGCCUUGGUUUCCUGGGAGGAAUGGGCGGGAGGGC